RNAcentral lists this small RNA (1111 nucleotides) under Pan troglodytes (chimpanzee). RNAcentral's name for it is "retained intron". The record is from RNAcentral. Lineage: Eukaryota; Metazoa; Chordata; Mammalia; Primates; Hominidae.
GAGGUUCCGGUGCUCGCCGCCGCCCAGCUCCCAGCCGAGGCUUUCUCAACCGCGUCAAUAAAAGGCCGCCCCGACCCGCCCCCGCGCCCCGCAGCCCUGCUGGACACCCCGGGCUGCAGCUGAGCGGGCGCAGACGGGCCGAGGCGAGCGCCGGGCGCGCAGGGACCGAGGGACCGAGUGCUCCCCAUGAGCGCACGUGGGCCGGGCGGUCCGCAAGCCCGGCUGAGAGCGCGCCAUGGGGCAGGCGGGCUGCAAGGGGCUCUGCCUGUCGCUGUUCGACUACAAGACCGAGAAGUAUGUCAUCGCCAAGAACAAGAAGGUGGGCCUGCUGUACCGGCUGCUGCAGGCCUCCAUCCUGGCGUACCUGGUCGUAUGGGUGUUCCUGAUAAAGAAGGGUUACCAAGACGUCGACACCUCCCUGCAGAGUGCUGUCAUCACCAAAGUCAAGGGCGUGGCCUUCACCAACACCUCAGAUCUUGGGCAGCGGAUCUGGGAUGUCGCUGACUAUGUCAUUCCAGCCCAGGGAGAGAACGUCUUUUUUGUGGUCACCAACCUGAUUGUGACCCCCAACCAGCGGCAGAACGUCUGUGCUGAGAAUGAAGGCAUUCCUGAUGGCGCGUGCUCCAAGGACAGCGACUGCCACCCUGGGGAGGCGGUUACAGCUGGAAACGGAGUGAAGACCGGCCGCUGCCUGCGGAGAGAGAACUUGGCCAGGGGCACUUGUGAGAUCUUUGCCUGGUGCCCGUUGGAGACAAGCUCCAGGCCGGAGUGAGUGGCUGCAGCCUCAGGACCCUGAGGGGUUUCCCAGCCCCACGCGGUGGGUCCCAGCCUGAGGGUGGAGUCCUGCCCACUCUGGGAGCCUCACGCUGAGGGAGGAGUCAGGCUGUCCCAGCAAGACCCGACGGCCUCCCCAGCAUGAGCAAAUUAACUGUCCUGGGCAGAGGCUCCAGGGGACCCAAGGAACAGGCCUCACACUGGCCCAGGCCUGGGGGAGGGGCACAGGGGUGGGGCCUCCUGGACAGGCUGUUCUGGGUUGGUUUUCAGGGAGCCGUUCCUGAAGGAGGCCGAAGACUUCACCAUUUUCAUAAAGAACCACAUCCGUUUCCCCAAA